RNAcentral lists this ribosomal RNA (497 nucleotides) under uncultured bacterium. RNAcentral describes it as "partial 16S ribosomal RNA". It matches the Rfam family "Bacterial small subunit ribosomal RNA", at positions 28 to 507 of the family's 1533-position model. The record is from RNAcentral.
GAUGAACGCUGGCGGCGUGCCUAAUACAUGCAAGUCGAGCGAUCAGACGAGGAGCUUGCUUUCCUGAUGUUAGCGGCGGACGGGUGAGUAACAUGUGGAUAAUCUAUCUAUAAGACUGGGAUCACUUCGGGAAACUGGAGCUAAUAGCGGAUAAUAUAUUGAACCGUAUGGUUCACUAGAGAAAGACGGUUUUGCUGUUACUAAUAGAUGGAUCCGUGUCGCAGUAGCUAGUUGGUAUGGCAACGGCUUACAAAGGCAACGAUGCGUAGCCGCACUGAGAGGGGGACCGGCCACACUGGAACUGGACCACGGUCCAGACUCCUACGGGAGGCGCAAGAGGGGAAUCUUCCGCAUGGGCCGAAGGCCUGACGGGGCAACGCCGCUUGGUGGAGAAAGUUCUUCGAACCGAAAGACCCUGUGAUAGGGGAAAAACAAAUUGGUAAGGAACAAUGCACGUCUUGACGGUACCUUAUCAGAAAGCCACGGCUAACUACGUG